Molecule: small nucleolar RNA, 107 nt
Filed under: Ascoidea rubescens DSM 1968
Lineage: Eukaryota; Fungi; Ascomycota; Saccharomycetes; Ascoideales; Ascoideaceae
Description: Small nucleolar RNA snR60/Z15/Z230/Z193/J17
Rfam family: Small nucleolar RNA snR60/Z15/Z230/Z193/J17
About the family: The members of this family belong to the C/D class of snoRNAs which contain the C (UGAUGA) and D (CUGA) box motifs.
Source: Rfam by way of RNAcentral
GAAAAUAAAAUGAUGAUUUAAUAAUGCAUAGUUCAACUGAUUAUACUAGAAAUUGAAGAUAAAAAACAUCAUUGAAAUUAGUCUUUCACCCCUAUCUGAUUUUUUUU